GAUGAACGCUGGCGGCGUGCCUAAUACAUGCAAGUCGAGCGAACAGACGAGGAGCUUGCUCCUCUGACGUUAGCGGCGGACGGGUGAGUAACACGUGGAUAACCUACCUAUAAGACUGGGAUAACUUCGGGAAACCGGAGCUAAUACCGGAUAAUAUAUUGAACCGCAUGGUUCAAUAGUGAAAGACGGUUUUGCUGUCACUUAUAGAUGGAUCCGCGCCGCAUUAGCUAGUUGGUAAGGUAACGGCUUACCAAGGCGACGAUGCGUAGCCGACCUGAGAGGGUGAUCGGCCACACUGGAACUGAGACACAGUCCAGACUCCUACGGGAGGCAGCAGUAGGGAAUCUUCCGCAAUGGGCGAAAGCCUGACGGAGCAACGCCGCGUGAGUGAUGAAGGUCUUCGGAUCGUAAAACUCUGUUAUUAGGGAAGAACAAAUGUGUAAGUAACUAUGCACGUCUUGACGGUACCUAAUCAGAAAGCCACGGCUAACUACGUG
RNAcentral lists this ribosomal RNA (497 nucleotides) under uncultured bacterium. RNAcentral's name for it is "partial 16S ribosomal RNA". It matches the Rfam family "Bacterial small subunit ribosomal RNA", at positions 28 to 507 of the family's 1533-position model. The record is from RNAcentral.